Molecule: ribosomal RNA, 449 nt
Filed under: uncultured bacterium
Lineage: Bacteria
Description: partial 16S ribosomal RNA
Rfam family: Bacterial small subunit ribosomal RNA
Source: RNAcentral
AACGAACGCUGGCGGCAUGCCUAACACAUGCAAGUCGAACGAAGGCUUCGGCCUUAGUGGCGCACGGGUGCGUAACGCGUGGGAAUCUGCCCUUAGGUACGGAAUAACUCAGGGAAACUUGAGCUAACACCGUAUAAUGACUUCGGUCCAAGGAUCUAUCGCCUGAGGAUGAGCCCGCGUCGGAUUAGCUAGUUGGUGAGGUAAAAGCUCACCAAGGCGACGAUCCGUAGCUGGUCUGAGAGGAUGAUCAGCCACACUGGGACUGAGACACGGCCCAGACUCCUACGGGAGGCAGCAGUGGGGAAUAUUGGACAAUGGGCGAAAGCCUGAUCCAGCAAUGCCGCUUGAGUGAUGAAGGCCUUAGGGUUGUAAAGCUCUUUUACCCGGGAUGAUAAUGACAGUACCGGGAGAAUAAGCCCCGGCUAACUCCGUGCCAGCAGCCGCCGUAA